This 421-nucleotide ribosomal RNA is filed under the name uncultured microorganism. RNAcentral describes it as "bacterial SSU rRNA". It matches the Rfam family "Bacterial small subunit ribosomal RNA", at positions 9 to 429 of the family's 1533-position model. The record is from RNAcentral.
GAGUUUGAUCGUGGCUCAGAUUGAACGCUGGCGGCAUGCCUUACACAUGCAAGUCGAACGGCAGCAUGAUCUAGCUUGCUAGAUUGAUGGCGAGUGGCGAACGGGUGAGUAAUACAUCGGAACGUGCCCUGUAGUGGGGGAUAACUAGUCGAAAGAUUAGCUAAUACCGCAUACGACCUGAGGGUGAAAGUGGGGGACCGCAAGGCCUCAUGCUAUAGGAGCGGCCGAUGUCUGAUUAGCUAGUUGUGGGGUAAAGGCCCACCAAGGCGACGAUCAGUAGCUGGUCUGAGAGGACGAUCAGCCACACUGGGACUGAGACACGGCCCAGACUCCUACGGGAGGCAGCAGUGGGGAAUUUUGGACAAUGGGCGAAAGCCUGAUCCAGCAAUGACCGCGUGUGUGAAGAAGGCCUCGGUGUAAG